UUAUGUAAACAUGUGUUUUAACCUAAAACAACAAACGCAACUGACGCGAUAAAUUGAGUGUUUUUUAUAGAAUGUUUAAUGAUAAAAGUUUUUUUUUUUAAAUUAUUUCUUUUAUAAAUAAAACACAUCCUCUCAAAGUGAUUAACAAUAAAAAAAAAAAUGAUUUGCUCAGUAGCACAUAAAUUAAAUACCAAACAUCGCACAAAGGAUGUAAUUACCAGUGAUAAUACGACUUUUUAUCACAUGGGUCUUUCACCAGAGAUACUAGAAGGAUUAACGAAUUGUGGUUUUGAAAAACCAUCUCCAAUUCAGCUAACUGCGAUACCAUUGGGACGCUGCGGAGUUGAUUUAAUCAUCCAAGCAAAGUCAGGAACUGGAAAGACUGCUGUUUUCGGAAUAAUUGCACUAGAUAUGGUAUAUGUGAAAGAUGUACAUCCCCAAGUAUUGAUUCUAGCCCCGACUCGAGAAAUUGCCAUACAAAUAUCCCAGGUUCUUGCAUCUAUAGGCUCAGAAAUGAAAGGACUAAAAGUUGGCAGUAUAAUCGGAGGAAUCCCUGCGAAAGUAGGAACAAAAAUUUCUUAUAACAAUCACAUUAUUGUUGGUACACCAGGAAAAUUGAAACAUUUAAUUAAAACAAGCAUGAUAAACGUUGAAAAUAUAAGAUUAUUUGUACUUGAUGAGGCUGAUAAAUUGAUGGAUUCAAGUUUUCGAGAUGAUAUUGAUGAAAUUUUUGGAUAUUUACCUGUAAAUAAACAGGUAAUAACAGCUAGUGCAACCUAUCCACCUGAUUUACAAACUUAUUUAUCUAAAUACAUGCGAUCUCCUCAUUAUUCUUCACCUUCUAGUGACAACCCUAUUCUUAUUGGCGUUAGACAAUUUGUUACAAAUGUUGUAUCACAUCCAAACAAAAUGAAACAAGUGCAAUUGAAAACCGAAGAAUUGAUAAAAAUUUUCGAAAAAAUUCCAUUUAAACAGUGCUUAGUAUUUCUGAAUUAUCAAACCAGAGUUCAAUCGGUUUGUAAUAAUGUGAAUAAGUUAGGAUAUUCAUCAACAUACAUUUCUGGUAAUCAAGAUAUGUCCAAAAGAUUAGAUGCAAUAUCGAAAUUAAAAAAUUUCGAGUGUAAAGUAUUAUUUUCAACAGAUUUAACAGCACGUGGUAUAGAUGCUGAGAAUGUUAAUUUGAUAAUAAACUACGACAUUCCAAAUGAUUGUUCAACGUAUUUACAUAGAAUAGGUCGUGCUGGACGUUACGGAUCCUAUGGAAUCGCAAUCACUUUAGUGGCAGAAAAUGAAUUAGAUACGUUUAAAGAUAUGAUAAAUCCUAUAGUCAGUCCUCAUUUAUUGUUAUUCAAAUGUCCUGACUAUUCAGAAAGUAUUUGGAACACAAAGAUAGAAGAUUUAAGUUUAUUUUUUGAAAGAAAAGAAAGUAAUGGCGAUUUUGAUGACUCAGAAAUUCAUAAAAACAAUGAACCUCAAACAAACGAUAUAAACGAUGAAAUAAAUACGGUUGAUGAAUUUAUGUUAUGCAAGGCUUUUGAAAAGCACUUGAAUAGUAGCAAAAUCAAUAAUUUCAAAGAAUCUGAUGAGGGUAACCCUAAAUUUACUCAACAGGUCUUACAAACAGAGACAAUAGUAUUUCUUCCAAUAGAUGAAUUUAUCGAAAAAUUAUAUAAUGAUAAAAUGGAUAUAUUAGAAAUUAAUCAAAAGGAUAAAAAAGUGAAAUGUAUUAUAAAUGAGACGCAAGAACGCUUUUAUGAAGCAUUGUUCACUAAAUCUUCACAAUUUCAAACAUGGAAUGAUACAGUUAUAUUUCCAACUUGUUCCCCGAAUGUUAUAGAUAAUGAUCAACCUGUCGAUGACACUAAAAUAAAUGAGUUUUUAAAUUAUCAAAUAUAUGAUAGAAAUUUUGAUUCAUCCCAGAAUAAGACUGAAGACACGAGUCCAUGGCAUUGCUAUUCACAUCGAUACUCUAUUAUUAAAUCACGUAAAUUAUUAUCAGGAGUAAAUAAAAAAUUAAUUACAUGUUUGGAACGAUUAUUCGAAAAUCUACCAAACACAUCAUUCAAUUUAGAAAAAAAUGACAGAGAGUCUUGUAAAAAGAAUAUAUUGAUGUGGAAUAAAAUGUUAGAACAUGAAAUAGAAGGGGUAAAUAAAUUACUCAACAUGAAUAGUUUAUAUAUAAUAGAUACAGGCAGAAAAUGGGGUUUAAAAAAAUAUUGGCAGUACUUGGAACAAUUUUUGAGAUUUCAGAAAAAGAUGACAGAUGUUAUAUAUUUUCACUUCUGUAAUAAUUUGAAGUUUGAGGAUGAAUAUACUACUUCGAAAAAUCAACAAAAUGAAAGUAUUUUUAGUCUAUUAUUAAAUUACAUAUUACCUCGUCCUAUUAUUUUCAAUAAAUUAUUACAUGAAUUAAUGUCAGAAACAGACUUAAAAAAUUACUACGAUCUGAGAUCGAAUAUUCAUUCACUUCAAAAUUCUUACACUCAAUUAUUAAAAUUAAAAGAGUGUAUGUUUGAUUUUACAAAAAAUGAACGAAUAAAACUUGAACAGCAAAUUAAAAAGAAAAGAAAACGAGAGGAUGAAAUAAGUUUUAAAGAUCUUCAAGAAUUUUUAAAGCAAGCAAAAGAAAAGAAGUUAAUGGAUGAAACAAAAGAUACAAAAAACUGUGAAAAUGUCAAUCACUUUCAAGAAUGGAAAGAUGUUAUUGAUGAAAAUAGCUGUAUGGAUGAUGCUACAUAUUCAAGUGUAUACAAUAGUGAAUUUAAAGGUCAGAAUAUAAAUUCAUUUUCUGAAAGUGAUUUUUUUACUCAAGAAUAUCAAUAUCCCCCAAAUAUGCAAUAUGAACAUAAUUAUAUGCCAUCAUUUACUUCUGGAAUACAAAAUAACAUGUUUGAAGAAAACGGAAGAAUAGAAUCUGAAUACGUCCCAGGAACUCAGAAUCAUAAUUAUUAUACUCAACCUAAAUGCAAACCACAAAAACAAAAUAAUCACCGGAACCCAACUGAAGAUUUGGACGAAUUCUUUCGUUGUUUGGAUAUUCAGACAAAAGCUUUACAUUUACAAGAAUACCAUAGAUUAAUGAUGAAAGAUUAAACAAACCAGUUGUGAUUUAAAUUUACAAUAUUAUAUAAUGUACAGAGCCACUAAUAAAAUAAUUAGAAAAUGGAACA
RNAcentral lists this unclassified non-coding RNA (3170 nucleotides) under Chelonus insularis. RNAcentral's name for it is "uncharacterized LOC118066618, transcript variant X1". The record is from RNAcentral. Lineage: Eukaryota; Metazoa; Arthropoda; Insecta; Hymenoptera; Braconidae.